CUACGGGGUGCACCAGUGGGGAAUAUUGCACAAUGGAGGAAACUCUGAUGCAGCAACGCCGCGUGGAGGAUGACACUUUUCGGAGCGUAAACUCCUUUUAUAUAGGAAGAAGAUGACGGUACUAUAUGAAUAAGCGCCGGCUAACUCCGUGCCAGCAGCCGCGGUAAUACGGAGGGCGCAAGCGUUACUCGGAAUCACUGGGCGUAAAGAGCGUGUAGGCGGAUUAAAAAGUCAGAAGUGAAAUCCUAUAGCUUAACUAUAGAACUGCUUCUGAAACUCUUAAUCUAGAAGAUGGGAGAGGUAGAUGGAAUUUCUGGUGUAGGGGUACAAUCCGUAGAGAUCAGAAGGAAUACCGAUUGCGAAGGCGAUCUACUAGAACAUUAUUGACGCUGAGACGCGAAAGCGUGGGGAGCAAACAGGAUUAGAUACCCCGAUAGUC
RNAcentral lists this ribosomal RNA (439 nucleotides) under uncultured bacterium. RNAcentral describes it as "partial 16S ribosomal RNA". It matches the Rfam family "Bacterial small subunit ribosomal RNA", at positions 339 to 795 of the family's 1533-position model. The record is from RNAcentral.